UUAUGUAAUAUCCUAUGUACACUGUUCUACGUGUUCCCUUAUCCAUGUAUACGUUCUCAUCUACGUAUCUCUUAUACGUAUCCGCACAGAUACGCAUACACGCUCGUGUAUAUUCUCUCUAUCUCUGUAUAUACGUGUGUAGCUCUCGCACAUCAGUACAGCCGAGUACUUUCCGUCUAGUACAGCACAUGCGACGCCCGUUACGGCCGCGCACACUCUUCUCUUGCGCACUCGAACUCGUGUAGGGAGAAUUGCGCCGCGACCUAGUUGUCUAGGCCACUGUGUCUGCGUUUCUAUAUGCAGGCUAUGUUUUGUAUGAAACUCUCAUCGUCGUAGUCGUAGUAGUGGUAGUAGUCAUCGUCAUCGUCAUCGUCAUUGCUUGCUCGCACUACAUGCAUGCAUGCUUGUUUGUUUAUUUGCUUGCUUGCUUGCUUGCUUUCUCGUUCCUUCUAUUUUCGUUGAAAUCAUCGACUUAUUUUGGAACCUGAAUCACGAGGAUUCUAAUUAGAUAAUGAAUAAUUAAUCGAUCGUUCAUGUAAUGUCUGGUUUUUCUUGUUGUAAAAAAAAAAAGGUCGAAAUAAAAUCGUUUCGUAAUAACGCAAAAGCAAAAAGAAAAAAGAAAAGAAAAAAGGAAAAAAAGAAAAAAAGAAAAAGAAAGAAGUAAACUAACGAAGCUCAAGCGGAUGCACGUUUCUUGCGUCAGGGAAAAUCGUCGUGAGGAAAGAAGCCGGAGCGCAGCGGCUUCUAUUAACUGCGCCGCCGACAACGACGCAGUUUCUCGAUGAAAUAGAAAGCGAUCGAUCGUGAGACUCGAAGCUAUUACUAGCGAGCUCGGUCCACUCCGCGACUCUAAAUAGGUCGGCACGAGGUAUCACGAGAUCUUCGAACGAAUGUUAGAGCUACGUGAUCGUCCUGUGCUCGAACGCGCAAACAUUUGCGGUAUACUUCAGAGGCAAGGAUGCUGUACCGAGGAAGGCGACAUUCCUUGCUUUAAGGUGGAAAGGUAGAUGCAUAAGUGACGUCAGAGCGGGAUGGUAAAAGCGGACAUAGGGGAAAGAGUGGGAGGAGAAAAAUAAGAAAGAAAAUAACUAGACCUAGAAGUAACAGCAGCAGCAGCAAUCGACCAAUCGUGAGCGUUAAGAGUCCCGAAUAUAGUCAAA
RNAcentral lists this long non-coding RNA (1160 nucleotides) under Polistes fuscatus (common paper wasp). Its description in RNAcentral is "uncharacterized LOC122517506". The record is from RNAcentral. Lineage: Eukaryota; Metazoa; Arthropoda; Insecta; Hymenoptera; Vespidae.